Molecule: long non-coding RNA, 624 nt
Organism: Mytilus californianus (California mussel)
Lineage: Eukaryota; Metazoa; Mollusca; Bivalvia; Mytilida; Mytilidae
Exons: 2
Source: RefSeq, a predicted model, not a curated record
UUUCAUUUUAGGUUCUUAGCGAUGUGAAAGCAGAUAUAUCAGGUAUUCCAGAAGUUACUUUGAACAACCCUCCAUCAAACAACUUACUUUUGGAUUUAUCGAACCAUAUUGGAAAUAGUACUAUGCAACUUGCCAUUGAGCUGGAUCUAGAUUCAAGUACCAUUCAACAAAUACAGUAUAAACAUAAAAACAAACUGCUGGAACAGACUAAGGAGAUUUUGCAGAUCUGGAGUAAGAAGCAGCAACCAAAACCAACUCUGCUUUUAUUAAUCAAAGCUCUGCACAGAAUUGGAAAAAUGGGUUCAUUGAGAGGAAUAACAUUUUGAAAUUGAAUUACCACAAAGAUAAUGAAUGCCAAUGAAGAAUUAUCAAAUGGAAACUUUCCACCAAUUUUCUAUCCUAACUGAAGAUGUUUUACUGCUUCUGAUACUGUUUUGUCAUCAUUAAAUGUUGAAUGUCAGUUUUCCUUUUAAAAAACCUAUGUAUAUAUUUAGUCUGAUUAGACACGCUUUUUAACUUUUAUUUUAGAUACAUCGUUUGAACUGCAUAAUUAAUUAAAAUCACAUAUUAUUUCAUUUCCACGAAAUAGUUGCUCGUUUCCUAGAAAUAAAGUUUUAUUCAAUG